CCAGACUCCUACGGGAGGCAGCAGUGGGGAAUCUUCCGCAAUGGGCGCAAGCCUGACGGAGCAACGCCGCGUGAGUGAAGAAGGUCUUCGGAUCGUAAAGCUCUGUUGAUGGGGACGAACGUGCCUAAUGCGAAUAGUAUUAGGCAAUGACGGUACCCAUCGAGGAAGCCACGGCUAACUACGUGCCAGCAGCCGCGGUAAUACGUAGGUGGCGAGCGUUGUCCGGAAUCAUUGGGCGUAAAGGGAGCGCAGGCGGGCAUGUAAGUCUUUCUUAAAAGUGCGGGGCUCAACCCCGUGAUGGGAAAGAAACUAUGUGUCUUGAGUACAGGAGAGGAAAGCGGAAUUCCCAGUGUAGCGGUGAAAUGCGUAGAUAUUGGGAGGAACACCAGUGGCGAAGGCGGCUUUCUGGACUGCAACUGACGCUGAGGCUCGAAAGCCAGGGGAGCGAACGGGAUUAGAUACCCCGGUAGUCCUGGCCGUAAACGAUGGAUACUAGGUGUGGGAGGUAUCGACCCCUACCGUGCCGGAGUUAACGCAAUAAGUAUCCCGCCUGGGGAGUACGGCCGCAAGGCUGAAACUCAAAGGAAUUGACGGGGGCCCGCACAAG
This 607-nucleotide ribosomal RNA is filed under the name uncultured bacterium. RNAcentral's name for it is "bacterial SSU rRNA". It matches the Rfam family "Bacterial small subunit ribosomal RNA", at positions 331 to 929 of the family's 1533-position model. The record is from RNAcentral.